GUUAGGUUCUGGAUAUUUGAAUAAGUUAUUACUUUUAGUUAUUAUAAUAUAGAGUUAUUUAAUUAUUAGUAUUUUUAUAAUAAUAAUGGUCAUAAAGUGUGUUGUUUGUGACGUUCAGUUCAAAACAAAAACAGAAAAAAAAUUUCAUUCAUUUCCUAAAGAUGAAUCACGCAAGAUCCAGUGGAAAAAGCAUGUGGGCUAAAUUUGUGUUUACCUUCAUACAGGGUAUGCUCUGAUCAUUUUUGGCCUGAAGAUUACGAGUUAAGUGGGCUUCUAAAGAAAGAUGCUGUUCCCUGUAAAGAAGAUAGAUUGAAUGAGAGCGAUACAAUAAUAAUGACAAUAGAUCAGCCUCCUGUGUCUGAUAUCUGUGUCACUCCUAGAAAGCAUAAUUUGGAUGAUGUAGAUCAUUGUUCACCAUCUCAAUUAUCACCAAGUGUAAAGAGGUGUAAACGUUUAAAUACAGACACUAUAGGAAUAUUGUCUCCUACUCAUUUUAGUACUCUAAAACGUACUAAGCGGAAUAUACAAAUGGUAAAAGAUAAAUACAGACAAAAACAAAUUCAAAACCACAACCUUAAAAAGAAAGUACAAAGACUUAAUGCAAAACUCAAGACAUAUGAUGAAUUAAUUGAAAAAUUACAACAUAAAAACUUACUGUCUGAAAAUGCUUCUUAUCACCUUCAAGUAUUGUUAUAGAUUAUUAUUUAAUACCAGUCUUAAUUACAGUGUUGAAUUCAGACAUUUUUUCCAGGGGGGGCACUAUGAGAUGUGGAAUUAAUAUUAAUACAAAUUAACAAACUUUACUUUAUUUAUCUAAUUGAUAUAAUUUAACUUUAGCUUAUAAAAACAAUUAAAAUUAUUUAAUAUUUAAAAAAUGUAUAAUUAAUAUUAUCAUAAAAAUUGUCAAAUGUCAAUGAUAAAGGCGCAUUUUAUAGUGACUGACUGAUAUCAGCCAUGCCAAUUAGAAUUUCCAAUUAUAUUCUUUUAAGGGGCGGUGUAAUAUGUACCUAGACCAUUCAAAUUGGUUCAUUAAUAAAUAAAUAAUUUAUUUACUGACAUUUAACCGGGGGGCAAACAAAACUUCAGGGGGAGCAGUUGCCCUCCCUGAUGUAUACCUGGAUUCAACACUAGUCUUGAGUAAAAUACUUUUUAAAAGUAUUUAGAAUAAAUACUUGAAUACUCUUGAAAAAUAGUAUUCCGAAUAUGUAUUUAAAUACAUCAUACAAAUAGUAUUCUGAAUUAAGUAUUUAGAAUACUAUAAAACUAUUCCAAAUACUUUUAAAAUAUUUUUAGUUUUAGAUAUUAUAAAAUAAUAUCUUUUUGUAUAUUAUUAUAUAAUUUUAUCAUUAUUAUAUUAUAUUAUGUUUAAAUAUAUUGUUUGUAAAUUAAAAUUAUAAUAUACUUCACU
This is a long non-coding RNA of Aphis gossypii (cotton aphid), 1408 nucleotides long. RefSeq lists it as uncharacterized. Lineage: Eukaryota; Metazoa; Arthropoda; Insecta; Hemiptera; Aphididae. The record is from RefSeq and is a predicted model, not a curated record. The transcript is spliced from 4 exons.